CUCUUCCUUCUCGCUGCAGGACAAACAACUCCACCAAAGAAAAGCAAAGCAAAAGAAAGGCUCUGCUGCAGCUUCCCAACCCCAGGGGAAACCCGCUCUGCCAGCAGCCACAGGUUGCUUCUUGCCUUCAUUUUCCUGGGCUUUUCUGGGCAGGACUUGGCCUCGCAGGCGUGGUUUGCAGGUGGCUUUCUGUGCUCCGGUGAGCUCUGCAGCAUGGCUGAGCGUGCUGCUGCAAGGCUGCACCUCUCCGGGCUGUGCUUCUUCCUCCAGCUCCUCACCAUCGUCCUCUUCGCCACCUUUGUCCGGUACAGCCCGGAGAGCUCCAACCUCUGCUCCACGGAGCCAAGAUGCAGCCAGAGAGACCCCAGCCCGACUUUGGGGUACCCCCGGUUCCGGGAUGCCCACCUCCGAGCUCUCCUUGGCUUCGGCUUCCUACUGGCCUUCCUCAGCCGCUAUGGGGUGGGCAGCGUGGCUGGCAGCCUCCUCAUCGUGGCCUUCACCAUCCAGUGGGCCAUACUGGCCCAGGGGCUCUUUUACUUCUCCCAGAACAGCAAGAUUUAUGUGAGCACUCAGAGCAUGGUCAGUGCCGACUUCUGCACCGCAGCCAUCCUCAUCUCCACUGGGGCUGUUCUGGGCAGGGUGAAUCCCAUCCAGAUGCUGCUGAUGGCUCUGCUGGAGGUUCCCCUCUUUGCUUGCAAUGAAUAUAUCCUGCGGAGCAUCCUGGGGGUAAGCGACAGUGGAGGCUCCUUGACCAUCCACACUUUUGGUGCUUAUUUUGGCUUGACGGUUUCACGCGCCUUGCACCAGCCCCACGAGGACAAGAGGAAAGAGCAGCAGGACGUGGGGCACGGGCCCGAUGUCUUUGCCGUGGUUGGAACCAUUUGCCUGUGGAUCUUCUGGCCCAGCUUUGCCUCAGCCACCACAGCCCACGACAGCGCCGAGCCCUGGGCAGUGCUGAACCUCUACUUCUCUCUGGCAGCGAGCACCCUGGCCACCUUCAUCCUCUCGCCCAUCCUGUAUGAGGAGGGCACGCUGCAGGUGGCCCAGCUCCAGGAUGCCACCUUGGCCAGCACAGCCGUGAUGGGGAUGGCGGGGGAGAUGCUGUCCACCCCCUUUGGGGCCCUCACAGCAGGUUUCCUGGCCAGCCAGCUCUCCCUGCUCAGCUCCAGGUUCCUCUCGCCCAUCCUGCGAUCCAGGCUGAAAACCGAGGACACGUGUGGAGUGCACAACGUCCACGGGCUGCCGGGGAUCCUGGGCACCUUCCUGGGGACGCUGCUGGCGGCGCUGGCCACCGCGGAUGUAUUCGGCGACAGGCUGCAGCUCGUCUUCCCGCUGGUGGCCGACGGCAGCCGCACGACCGCUGAGCAGGCGCAGUGGCAGCUAUGCGGGCUGGUCGUCACCCUGCUGCUGGCUGCCCUCGGGGGCGGCCUCACGGGAGCCCUCCUGCGAACGAAGGUGCUGAGGUCUCCCCCCGAAAGGAACGAGCUGGAGAGCAAAGCGCUGCGAGAGGUGGAUGAGGAUGGAUGUGACCACGGGACGAGCAGCGAGGAGCGACGUACCAUCGCCUGACAGCCCUGACAGCGUGAUGAGUUCCAGGCAGUGCCUGCAGCCCCACGUUCCCAGCCAGGCUCGUCUCCAUGCGUUCCCCAAAGAGGAUGGGGGCACAGAGGGAUGUACAGCAAAGAGAUGCUGCAGUCAUUUGGUUUCUUGCUGUGGGAAGAAGGGACUGCCCGGCUUGGUGCGGAUUCAGACCUCGUUUGGGAUUUGCUCUUGAAUUCAUACACCGUUUGCCAAGGAAGAAAGCAAAGCCCCCAGGAUACCCCCCCCCCCUCACCCUACACAGCAGCGCUGGGGAGUCACAGGGUCCCCAUUUGAGCCAUGGAUUUCAUGCUUAGCUCUGACCCCUCCAUUACCUCAGCCACCAGAGGGUGCCACAGCUCGGGGCCAGGCCGUGGUGACAGCCUGGUCCCCUGCAUGCAGGUGGUCUCCCUCCUCCCAUCCUUCCUCCAAAGCAGCGAAGUAUCACUCGGUCCUCUUGAGAGACGGAUGCCCCCAUGGUCCUGGUUGGCAUCGCACUGAAAAUACACUGAGAUCUGAAAUGAGAUGGGGGGGGAAAAAAACAACCAGCAACAAACCAACUGCUUGGUUCCAGGCUGACCGAAAAUGUUCGCUUUAAUUGGGGCUCUUUAAUUCCUUUUAGAAACGGUGGAGAGAAAUUUGGAGGCUGGUGCACUGUUCCACAGCAGAAGUUGAAAACGUUCGCCUUUGAUACACAUCAAACCAACGCCUUAACGUUCCCAGGGAUCCCCACUUGCUCAUUACUAAGAACCCAAUGAAAUCAA
Molecule: RNA transcript, 2342 nt
Organism: Gallus gallus (chicken)
Lineage: Eukaryota; Metazoa; Chordata; Aves; Galliformes; Phasianidae
Gene: RHBG
Gene name: Rh family B glycoprotein
Exons: 11
Source: RefSeq, marked validated